This 477-nucleotide ribosomal RNA is filed under the name uncultured bacterium. RNAcentral describes it as "partial 16S ribosomal RNA". It matches the Rfam family "Bacterial small subunit ribosomal RNA", at positions 28 to 507 of the family's 1533-position model. The record is from RNAcentral.
GAUUAACGCUGGCGGCGUGCAUAACACAUGCAAGUCGAACGAUGAAGAUUAUUAGACUUCUUCGGAAUGAAAAUAAUUGGAUUAGUGGCGGACGGGUGAGUAACGCGUGAGUAACCUGCCUUACACAAGGGGAUAGCCGUUGGAAACGACGAAUAAUACCCUAUGAAACUAUCACUUCGCAUGAAGCGAUAGUCAAAGUGUUAGCGGUGUAAGAUGGACUUGCGUCUGAUUAGCUAGUUGGUGAGAAAAAAGCCCACCAAGGCAACGAUCAGUAGCCGGCUUGAGAGAGUGUACGGCCACAUUGGGACUGAGACACGGCCCAGACUCCUACGGGAGGCCGCAGUGGGGAAUUUUGCACAAUGGGGGAAACCCUGAUGCAGCGACGCCGCGUGAUUUAGAAGGCCUUCGGGUUGUAAAAAUCUUUUGUAUAGGAAGAAAAUGACAGUACUAUACGAAUAAGGUCCGGCUAAUUACGUG